GACGAACGCUGGCGGCGUGCUUAACACAUGCAAGUCGAGCGGUAAGGCCCUUUCGGGGGUACACGAGCGGCGAACGGGUGAGUAACACGUGGGUGACCUGCCUUUAGCUCUGGGAUAAGCCUGGGAAACUGGGUCUAAUACCGGAUAUGACUCCGCGGUGCAUGCUGUGGGGUGGAAAGCCUUGUGCGGCUGGAGAUGGGCCCGCGGCCUAUCAGCUUGUUGGUGGGGUGANGGCCUACCAAGGCGACGACGGGUAGCCGGCCUGAGAGGGCGACCGGCCACACUGGGACUGAGACACGGCCCAGACUCCUACGGGAGCAGCAGUGGGGAAUCUUGCGCAAUGGGCGAAAGCCUGACGCAGCGACGCCGCGUGAGGGAUGACGG
RNAcentral lists this ribosomal RNA (384 nucleotides) under uncultured bacterium. RNAcentral's name for it is "bacterial SSU rRNA". It matches the Rfam family "Bacterial small subunit ribosomal RNA", at positions 28 to 414 of the family's 1533-position model. The record is from RNAcentral.